This 263-nucleotide ribosomal RNA is filed under the name uncultured bacterium. Its description in RNAcentral is "partial 16S ribosomal RNA". It matches the Rfam family "Bacterial small subunit ribosomal RNA", at positions 793 to 1055 of the family's 1533-position model. The record is from RNAcentral.
GUCCACGCCGUAAACGUUGGGCGCUAGGUGUGGGGGCCAUUCCACGGUCUCUGUGCCGUAGCUAACGCAUUAAGCGCCCCGCCUGGGGAGUACGGCCGCAAGGCUAAAACUCAAAGGAAUUGACGGGGGCCCGCACAAGCGGCGGAGCAUGUGGAUUAAUUCGAUGCAACGCGAAGAACCUUACCUGGGUUUGACAUGCGCCAGACGCGUCUAGAGAUAGGCGUUCCCUUGUGGUUGGUGUGCAGGUGGUGCAUGGCUGUCGU